Sinocyclocheilus grahami is the source of this 449-nucleotide long non-coding RNA. RefSeq lists it as uncharacterized. NCBI's taxonomy places the organism in Eukaryota, Metazoa, Chordata, Actinopteri, Cypriniformes, Cyprinidae. The transcript has 5 exons. The record is from RefSeq and is a predicted model, not a curated record.
CUUCAAAAUGAAAUAAUUCUGGCAGACACAGAGGCUAAUGAUGAUCAGUCAAAUGAGGCAGUGAAUCACCUGAUUGCAAUCACAUCUGAGCUAGAGCAAUGGCAAGAAAUGGAACCAAAAUUGCUGACAACAAAUCCUGAAGUCUUACUAGUGGUUGGUAAAGAAGAGUUGCAGAGUCUCAACAGUCAACACUAAAAUGGUCCUGUCAUGCUCACAAGCAAAGCUGGAUGCCCAGAAAAAGAUUUUGAAAAGGGAGCAGACAUGGCAAGCAGAGAAGAAAGAAGCAUUGAAUGCAGUGUGUGAGAAAAUCAGCAGAUUACAGCGUGAAAACGAGAAACCAGAGCACAGGUUGUUAGUUUUAUGCUGGCAUUAAAAAUCAAAUUUUUACAUCUGCUUAAAGGGAUAUUUACCCAAGAAUUAAAAAUUGGCAUAAUUUAUGUACUCCUCAU